UACCUUAGUGGGAUCAGUUGUGGGCGA
RNAcentral lists this non-coding RNA (27 nucleotides) under Cricetulus griseus (Chinese hamster). Lineage: Eukaryota; Metazoa; Chordata; Mammalia; Rodentia; Cricetidae. The record is from RNAcentral.